This 253-nucleotide ribosomal RNA is filed under the name uncultured bacterium. Its description in RNAcentral is "partial 16S ribosomal RNA". It matches the Rfam family "Bacterial small subunit ribosomal RNA", at positions 524 to 776 of the family's 1533-position model. The record is from RNAcentral.
UACGUAGGGUGCAAGCGUUAAUCGGAAUUACUGGGCGUAAAGCGUGCGCAGGCGGUUAUGCAAGACAGAGGUGAAAUCCCCGGGCUCAACCUGGGAACUGCCUUUGUGACUGCAUGGCUAGAGUACGGUAGAGGGGGAUGGAAUUCCGCGUGUAGCAGUGAAAUGCGUAGAUAUCAGGAAGAACACCCGUGGCGAAAGCGGCUCUCUAGAACGGUACUGACGCUGAGACGCGAAAGCGUGGGGAGCGAACAGG